CCGGGGGGCGGGCCUAAUACAUGCAAGUCGAGCGGACAGAAGGGAGCUUGCUCCCGGAUGUUAGCGGCGGACGGGUGAGUAACACGUGGGUAACCUGCCUGUAAGACUGGGAUAACUCCGGGAAACCGGAGCUAAUACCGGAUAGUUCCUUGAACCGCAUGGUUCAAGGAUGAAAGACGGUUUCGGCUGUCACUUACAGAUGGACCCGCGGCGCAUUAGCUAGUUGGUGAGGUAACGGCUCACCAAGGCGACGAUGCGUAGCCGACCUGAGAGGGUGAUCGGCCACACUGGGACUGAGACACGGCCCAGACUCCUACGGGAGGCAGCAGUAGGGAAUCUUCCGCAAUGGACGAAAGUCUGACGGAGCAACGCCGCGUGAGUGAUGAAGGUUUUCGGAUCGUAAAGCUCUGUUGUUAGGGAAGAACAAGUGCAAGAGUAACUGCUUGCACCUUGACGGUACCUAACCAGAAAGCCACGGCUAACUACGUGCCAGCAGCCGCGGUAAUACGUAGGUGGCAAGCGUUGUCCGGAAUUAUUGGGCGUAAAGGGCUCGCAGGCGGUUUCUUAAGUCUGAUGUGAAAGCCCCCGGCUCAACCGGGGAGGGUCAUUGGAAACUGGGAAACUUGAGUGCAGAAGAGGAGAGUGGAAUUCCACGUGUAGCGGUGAAAUGCGUAGAGAUGUGGAGGAACACCAGUGGCGAAGGCGACUCUCUGGUCUGUAACUGACGCUGAGGAGCGAAAGCGUGGGGAGCGAACAGGAUUAGAUACCCUGGUAGUCCACGCCGUAAACGAUGAGUGCUAAGUGUUAGGGGGUUUCCGCCCCUUAGUGCUGCAGCUAACGCAUUAAGCACUCCGCCUGGGGAGUACGGUCGCAAGACUGAAACUCAAAGGAAUUGACGGGGGCCCGCACAAGCGGUGGAGCAUGUGUUUAAUUCGAAGCAACGCGAGACUUACAGUCUGACAUCCUCUGACACCUAGAGAUAGGCUUUCCUUCGGGACAGAGUGACAGUGUGCAUGAUGUCGUCAGC
RNAcentral lists this ribosomal RNA (1027 nucleotides) under Bacillus altitudinis. RNAcentral describes it as "bacterial SSU rRNA". It matches the Rfam family "Bacterial small subunit ribosomal RNA", at positions 36 to 1059 of the family's 1533-position model. Lineage: Bacteria; Bacillati; Bacillota; Bacilli; Caryophanales; Bacillaceae. The record is from RNAcentral.